RNAcentral lists this ribosomal RNA (443 nucleotides) under uncultured bacterium. RNAcentral's name for it is "partial 16S ribosomal RNA". It matches the Rfam family "Bacterial small subunit ribosomal RNA", at positions 338 to 795 of the family's 1533-position model. The record is from RNAcentral.
CCUACGGGCGGCAGCAGUGGGGAAUAUUGCACAAUGAGCGAAAGCCUGAUGCAGCAACGCCGCGUGAAGGCAGAAGGGUUUCGGCUCGUAAACUUCUAUCAACAGGGACGAAAGAAAUGACGGUACCUGAAUAAGAAGCCCCGGCUAACUACGGGCCAGCAGCCGCGGUAAUAUGUAGGGGGCAAGCGUUAUACGGAAUUACUGGGGGGAAAGGGUGAGUAGGCGGCAUGGUAAGCCAUAGGUGAAAGCCUCGGGCUUAAACCGUGGAUUGCAUUUGGUACUAGCAAGCUAGAGUAAAGGAGAGGAAAGCGGAAUUCCUAGUGUAGCGGUGAAAUGCGUAGAUAUUAGGAAGAACACCAGUGGCGAAGGCGGCUUUCUGGACUGAAACUGACGCUGAGGCACGAAAGCGUGGGGAGCGAACAGGAUUAGAUACCCUUGUAGUC